RNAcentral lists this microRNA (21 nucleotides) under Ananas comosus (pineapple). RNAcentral's name for it is "microRNA s1147_c008b". Lineage: Eukaryota; Viridiplantae; Streptophyta; Magnoliopsida; Poales; Bromeliaceae. The record is from RNAcentral.
GUUUGGGCCCUGCUCCUCAUA